AUGCCUUAAAACUGAUGAGUAAGGAAAAUAACGUCGGGGUGCCGCCCGGGUCUUAGCUGAAAUUGCGUAUUAAAUUUUUGAGCGGGUCCAGGUCGUGCUCUGGGUGAUCUGCUUACUUUGCAUUAUCAAGGCUCACCUG
Molecule: small nuclear RNA, 139 nt
Filed under: Felis catus (domestic cat)
Lineage: Eukaryota; Metazoa; Chordata; Mammalia; Carnivora; Felidae
Description: U12 minor spliceosomal RNA (ENSFCAG00000041211.1)
Rfam family: U12 minor spliceosomal RNA
About the family: Although the U12 sequence is very divergent from that of U2, the two are functionally analogous.
Source: RNAcentral